Molecule: transfer RNA, 76 nt
Filed under: bacterium
Lineage: Bacteria
Description: tRNA-Gln
Rfam family: tRNA
About the family: Transfer RNA (tRNA) molecules are approximately 80 nucleotides in length. Their secondary structure includes four short double-helical elements and three loops (D, anti-codon, and T loops).
Source: RNAcentral
UGCGGGGUGGUGUAAUUGGUAACACGCCGGCCUUUGGAGCCGGAGAUUCCAGGUUCGAUCCCUGGCCCCGCAGCCA